GAUCCUGGCUCAGGAUGAACGCUAGCUACAGGCUUAACACAUGCAAGUCGGGGGGCAGCAGGGCAAUAGCUUGCUAUUGUGCUGGCGACCGGCGCACGGGUGAGUAACGCGUAUCCAACCUACCCCGCGGUCAGGGACAGCCCGGCGAAAGUCGGAUUAAUACCUGAUGCAGUCAGAAGAGGGCAUCUGAUUUUGACGAAAGAUUGAUCGCCUCGGGAUGGGGAUGCGUAGGAUUAGGCAGGCGGCGGGGUAACGGCCCACCGCGCCGACGAUCCUUAGGGGUUCUGAGAGGAAGGUCCCCCACACUGGUACUGAGACACGGACCAGACUCCUACGGGAGGCAGCAGUGAGGAAUAUUGGUCAAUGGGCGGUAGCCUGAACCAGCCAAGUAGCGUGCAGGACGACGGCCCUAUGGGUUGUAAACUGCUUUUAUGCGGGGAUAAAGUGCGGCACGUGUGCCGUUUUGUAGGUACCGCAUGAAUAAGGACCGGCUAAUUCCGUGCCAGCCGCCGC
RNAcentral lists this ribosomal RNA (513 nucleotides) under uncultured bacterium. Its description in RNAcentral is "bacterial SSU rRNA". It matches the Rfam family "Bacterial small subunit ribosomal RNA", at positions 15 to 518 of the family's 1533-position model. The record is from RNAcentral.